RNAcentral lists this transfer RNA (66 nucleotides) under Dendostrea sandvichensis. RNAcentral's name for it is "tRNA-Gln". Lineage: Eukaryota; Metazoa; Mollusca; Bivalvia; Ostreida; Ostreidae. The record is from RNAcentral.
UGUGUUAUGGUGUAAUGGCACGAGAGUUUUUGGUACUCUAAGAGCUUGUACUAAAAGCUAACACUA